AUUGAACGCUGGCGGCAGGCCUAACACAUGCAAGUCGAGCGGAUGAAGGGAGCUUGCUCCUGGAUUCAGCGGCGGACGGGUGAGUAAUUCCUAGGAAUCUGCCUGGUAUUUGGGUAUAACGUCCGGAAACGGGCGCUAAUACCGCAUACGUCCUGAUGUUGAAAGUGGUGGAUCUUCGUACCUCACGCUAUCAGAUGAGCCUAGGUCGUAUUAGCUAGUUGGUUGGGUAAAGGCCUACCAAGGCGACGAUCCGUAACUGGUCUGAGAGGAUGAUCAGCCAGACUGGAACUGAGACACGGACCAGACUCCUACGGGAGGCAGCAGUGGGGAAUAUUGGACAAUGGGCGAAAGCCUGAUCCAGCAAUGCCGCGUGUGUGAAGAAGGUCUUCGGAUUGUAAAGCACUUUAAGGUGGGAGGAAGGGCAGUAAGUUAAUAACUUGCUGUUUUGACGUUAACAACAGAAUAAGCAACGGCUAACUUCGUG
RNAcentral lists this ribosomal RNA (484 nucleotides) under uncultured bacterium. Its description in RNAcentral is "partial 16S ribosomal RNA". It matches the Rfam family "Bacterial small subunit ribosomal RNA", at positions 30 to 507 of the family's 1533-position model. The record is from RNAcentral.